Molecule: transfer RNA, 81 nt
Filed under: Lodderomyces jiufengensis
Lineage: Eukaryota; Fungi; Ascomycota; Pichiomycetes; Serinales; Debaryomycetaceae
Also listed under: 1 other name
Description: Candida jiufengensis tRNA-Ser
Rfam family: tRNA
About the family: Transfer RNA (tRNA) molecules are approximately 80 nucleotides in length. Their secondary structure includes four short double-helical elements and three loops (D, anti-codon, and T loops). Further hydrogen bonds mediate the characteristic L-shaped molecular structure. tRNAs have two regions of fundamental functional importance: the anti-codon, which is responsible for specific mRNA codon recognition, and the 3' end, to which the tRNAs corresponding amino acid is attached (by aminoacyl-tRNA synthetases). tRNAs cope with the degeneracy of the genetic code in two manners: having more than one tRNA (with a specific anti-codon) for a particular amino acid; and 'wobble' base-pairing, i.e. permitting non-standard base-pairing at the 3rd anti-codon position.
Source: RNAcentral
GGAUGUAUGACUGAGAGGUUUAAGGUGUGAUAUUUGAGCUAUCAAGGUGUAUACCCACGUGUUCGAAUCACGUUGCAUCCG